This 21-nucleotide non-coding RNA is filed under the name Caenorhabditis elegans. Lineage: Eukaryota; Metazoa; Nematoda; Chromadorea; Rhabditida; Rhabditidae. The record is from RNAcentral.
UAUAUUUUUUGUGUUGCAUUA